Molecule: ribosomal RNA, 253 nt
Filed under: uncultured bacterium
Lineage: Bacteria
Description: partial 16S ribosomal RNA
Rfam family: Bacterial small subunit ribosomal RNA
Source: RNAcentral
UACGAAGGGGGCAAGCGUUGUCCGGAAUUAUUGGGCGUAAAGAGCUCGUAGGCGGUUUGUCGCGUCUGCUGUGAAAACCCGCAGCUCAACUGUGGGCUUGCAGCCGAUACGGGCGGGCUGGGAUUCGGUAGGGGAGACUGGAAUUCCUGGUGUAGCGGUGAAAUGCGCAGAUAUCAGGAGGAACACCGGUGGCGAAGGCGGGUCUCUGGGCCGAUAUCGACGCUGAGGAGCGAAAGCGUGGGGAGCGAACAGG